RNAcentral lists this long non-coding RNA (726 nucleotides) under Daucus carota (carrot). Its description in RNAcentral is "long non-coding RNA (DCAR_LNC000968)". Lineage: Eukaryota; Viridiplantae; Streptophyta; Magnoliopsida; Apiales; Apiaceae. The record is from RNAcentral.
GUCAUCGUCCACCACAAGUUCCAGCAACCCUCCCCGAAUCUUGUUAUCACCAGAUUCCUCCGUUAACAAUUGGCGCUAGAAGGAGGGGCUUUUUGACAUCUAUUGGAGGAAGGAUGUCACAUGAGACGAAGAACGACGUUGUCAAUCUAUGGAAGGGAAGGAAGACCUCGGAGACUCCGGCUACCAAUCAGCUACCGUCGCCUCUCUUGACGUCCGGAACCAGCUAUCAGGAACAUCUUGAAGGAAAGGAUAUUCUGAGGACAUGGAACGCUGGACAUCAGAAUUAUUAUCAGGAAAGUUCAUAUUCUCCUUCUCUAAAUUUGUGGUUAUAUUUUCUGUUUUGAUAUUUGCGUAACAGUCCUGGAAUCGAUGAGAUCACUCCCAAGACUCGGGGGUAGCAAUGGUACGUUCCCUCCGACCACACUAUCAUGUAAGCAUGCUAUUAACAACAAAUUUAGAACCUUUUGUAUAUCUUUUUUCGAAUCUAUAUAUUUGUGUCUUGUUUGGAGCGUGAAGACCAGGGACAACCUCCCUGCUGCUUUGGAAUUCGUCUUCAUGUGUAAUCGAGGCACAUGUUUGACACCCUCGGGAUGCCUGGACAACCAUCUUCAUAAGAUGGUUCGAAAGAAUUCCUAUGCCCUGGUGGCCCGUACUUCCGGUAAACCAUCAGGAAGACCCUCAGGGGUGCAGCUUUGGAAAACCCUCAGGGGUUGGAGUUUUUAUUCG